GGCAAGUGAUGAAAACUGUGUAUGUAGGAGGCCAUUGACUGUUUUUACAAACCAGAGUAAAAUCAUUGUCUGAAAUCUUGGUGGACAUAUCUCAGUUUGUAUGUCUGCUGUAAGGCCAGGCAUAUACAGGGGGCACUGUCAUUCAAUACGGCUGACUCUAGAUAUAGUCUGCUGUGAUUGAUGGAGCACAAAGUUGGGGACAGGGGUUGUAGUGGGAUGCAUUAUGGGAAGGAUUUAAUACAAGCAGUCAAUGGUCUAUGAUUUCUAUCUUUAGUAAUCUGAUGCCA
Mytilus californianus (California mussel) is the source of this 287-nucleotide small nucleolar RNA. The record is from RefSeq and is a predicted model, not a curated record. NCBI's taxonomy places the organism in Eukaryota, Metazoa, Mollusca, Bivalvia, Mytilida, Mytilidae.